Triticum aestivum (bread wheat) is the source of this 135-nucleotide non-coding RNA. The record is from Rfam. NCBI's taxonomy places the organism in Eukaryota, Viridiplantae, Streptophyta, Magnoliopsida, Poales, Poaceae.
CUUGUACUUCCUCCGUGCCAAAAUUCUUGUCUUAGAAUUGUCUAGAUACGGAUAUACCUAAUACCAAAAUAUGACUUAAUACAUCCGUAUUUAGACAAAUCUAAGAUAAAAAUUUUAAGACGGAGGGAGUAUAUA